AGCCUGCCGGUGCGGGAAGAAGGCCUUCGGGUUGUAACCGUUUUUGUUCGGAAAGAAAUCCUUUGGGCUAAUACCCCGGGGGGAUGACGGUCCUGGAAAAAUAAGCACCGGCUAACUNCGUGCCCGCAGCCGCGGUAAUACGUAGGGUGCGAGCGUUAAUCGGAAUUACUGGGCGUAAAGCGUGCGCAGGCGGUUGUGUCAAGUACAGAUGUGAAAUCCCCGGGCUUAACCUGGGAACUGCAUUUGUGACUGCNCGGCUAGAGUGCGGAAGAGGGGAGUGGAAUUCCNCGUGUAGCAGUGAAAUGCGUAGAUAUGCGGAGGAACACCGAUGGCGAANGCAGCUCCCUGGGCCUGCACUGACGCUCAUGCACGAAAGCGUGGGGAGCAAACAGGAUUAGAUACCCUGGUAGUCCACGCCCUAAACGAUGUCNACUGGUUGUUGGUCCUUCACUGGAUCANUAACGUANCUAACGCGUGAAGUUGACCGCCUGGGGAGUACGGCCGCAAGGUUGAAACUCNAAGGAUUG
This 527-nucleotide ribosomal RNA is filed under the name uncultured Caldimonas sp. Its description in RNAcentral is "bacterial SSU rRNA". It matches the Rfam family "Bacterial small subunit ribosomal RNA", at positions 390 to 911 of the family's 1533-position model. The record is from RNAcentral. Lineage: Bacteria; Pseudomonadati; Pseudomonadota; Betaproteobacteria; Burkholderiales; Sphaerotilaceae.